AUUGAACGCUGGCGGCAUGCCUUACACAUGCCAGUCGAACGGCAGCACGGGUGCUUGCCCCUGGUGGCGAGUGGCGAACGGGUGAGUAAUACAUCGGAACAUGUCCUGUAGUGGGGGAUAGCCCGGCGAAAGCCGGAUUAAUACCGCAUACGAUCUACGGAUGAAAGCGGGGGACCUUCGGGCCUCGCGCUACAGGGUUGGCCGAUGGCUGAUUAGCUAGUUGGUGGGGUAAAGGCCUACCAAGGCGACGAUCAGUAGCUGGUCUGAGAGGACGACCAGCCACACUGGGACUGAGACACGGCCCAGACUCCUACGGGAGGCAGCAGUGGGGAAUUUUGGACAAUGGGCGAAAGCCUGAUCCAGCAAUGCCGCGUGUGUGAAGAAGGCCUUCGGGUUGUAAAGCACUUUUGUCCGGAAAGAAAUCCUUGGCCCUAAUACGGUCGGGGGAUGACGGUACCGGAAGAAUAAGUACCGGCUAACUACGUG
RNAcentral lists this ribosomal RNA (486 nucleotides) under uncultured bacterium. RNAcentral's name for it is "partial 16S ribosomal RNA". It matches the Rfam family "Bacterial small subunit ribosomal RNA", at positions 30 to 507 of the family's 1533-position model. The record is from RNAcentral.